GCCGGGAAUGGAAAGCCCGGUGCAAGCGGGGUACCAGUCACUUUGGCAAAUCCGGGUGGCAAUGGGAAGCCGUGAUGCGGAGCGAAAUAAAGUAGUGAAGUCCGUGAGCCAUGCGUCAAGAAAAGCCGCUAUUGUUUAUACCGUACCCGUACCGUAAACCGACACAGGUGGAUGAGGAGAGAAUCCUAAGGCCGGCGGAAGAAGCAUUGUCAAGGAACUCGGCAAAAUGGCCCCGUAACUCAGUGAUAAGGGGUGCCUGGGAAACCAGGCCGCAGAGAAUAGGCUCAAGCAACUGUUUAGCAAAAACACAGGUCUAUGCGAAACCGAAAGGUGAGGUAUAUGGGCUGACGCCUGCCCGGUGCUGGAAGGUUAAGAGGAGAGGUUAGCGGUAACGCGAAGCUUUGAAUUUAAGCCCCAGUAAACGGCGGCCGUAACUAUGACGGUCCUAAGGUAGCGAAAUUCCUUGUCGGGUAAGUUCCGACCCGCACGAAAGGCGUAAUGAUUUGAGCGCUGUCUCGACAAUGCAUCCGGUGAAAUUGAAGUACCAGUGAAGAUGCUGGUUACCUGCGCCAGGACGGAAAGACCCCAUGGAGCUUUACUCCAGUCUGGUACUGGGACUCGGUAUUGCAUGUACAGGAUAGGUGGGAGGCUAGGAGAUGGUAACGCCAGUUGCCAUGGAGCCGCUGUUGGGAUACCACCCUUGCAGUAUUGGGUUUCUAACCAGCCGCCGUGACCCGGCGGUGGGACAAUGCCAGACGGGGAGUUUGACUGGGGCGGUCGCCUCCGAAAGGGUAUCGGAGGCGCCCAAAGGUUCCCUCAGAAUGGACGGAAACCAUUCGAAGAGUGCAAAGGCAGAAGGGAGCUUGACUGCGACACCGACGGGUGGAGCAGGUACGAAAGUAGGGCUUAGUGAUCCGGUGGUAUUAAGUGGGAAUGCCAUCGCUCAACGGAUAAAAGCUACCCUGGGAUAACAGGCUUAUCACUCCCAAGAGUUCACAUCGACGGAGUGGUUUGGCACCUUGAUGUCGGCUCAUCGCAUCCUGGGGCUGUAGUAGGUCCCAAGGGUUGAGCUGUUCGCCCAUUAAAGCGGUACGCGAGCUGGGUUCAGAACGUCGUGAGACAGUUCGGUCCCUAUCCGGCGUGGGCGUAGGAUAUCUGAGAGGAGCUGUCCUUAGUACGAGAGGACCGGGAUGGACGGGCCGCUGGUGCAUCGGUUAGACUGCCAAGUCUGCGGCCGAGUAGCCAAGCCCGGAAGGGAUAAACGCUGAAGGCAUCUAAGCGUGAAGCCCCCCUUAAGAUGAGAUAUCCCAUUCGAAAGAAGUAAACCCCCUUGAAGACGACGAGGUAGAUAGGGCAGAGGUGGAAGUGCAGCAAUGCAUGGAGCUGACUGUUACUAAUCGGGUGAGGGCUUGACC
This 1415-nucleotide ribosomal RNA is filed under the name metagenome. RNAcentral's name for it is "bacterial LSU rRNA". It matches the Rfam family "Bacterial large subunit ribosomal RNA", at positions 1490 to 2925 of the family's 2925-position model. The record is from RNAcentral.